Molecule: long non-coding RNA, 980 nt
Filed under: Malus domestica (apple)
Lineage: Eukaryota; Viridiplantae; Streptophyta; Magnoliopsida; Rosales; Rosaceae
Description: long non-coding RNA (MDOM_LNC004330)
Source: RNAcentral
GACACAAAAGGGUUUUGGUCCACAAGGCACAUAAGGUUUAAGUUGUGUGACAACUAAAACAAAAUGGGCAAUUAACCCACUAACAAUAGGGAGGCCAGCCAUGCUUAGAGAGGGAGUGGGUUUUGAACUUAUUACAAGUUUACCACUCCAAUGAAGAUAGGUAUAAAUGUGACUUUAUAGCAUUUUCUUCAUUAAGGUUUUUCUCUUAGUAAAGAUAAGAGAACUUUGGCUCUCUCUUUCUCUCUAGAGAGGAUGGGCACCAUGGGGGAAUUUACUAGCAUCUAAUUCUUCCAUGGUCAUUCAUCAUCUUCCUCAACCAUCCUUGGUGUCGGAACUUAAAGGUCUCCAACUUUGGGGACUUUUAGAGAAACUAAUUCUUCCAUCCAUAUCUAAGAAGACAUGGAGCCAAGAAGCAAAGUUCCUCCAUCCACAUCCAUGGAGCCAAGGAGCAAGGUGACAAAGGAAAUAAGGCCGAUUAACCUUUGCUAAGCAAAAAUAUGCUUCAAAGGUAUAAAGAAAUCUCAACUCUUUCUCUUAGAUCUUGAGUUGAGUCUUGGUUCACCAUAACUACUAGGCUUUGAAUUUCAUGUGUAAAGUUUUGUUUUUGAGUGCAUACAAGCAUGAUUCUGCCUUUAAUUGUUAAUUGCAUGCAUAGAUGUUGCUCAAAUGAACUACUUUUCACAAAUAUUUCCUUCAACAUCAACUUUCAUCACCCAAAGUGCCAACCUCCUAGGGGAGCUGUGCAAGGGGUCAUCCAUCUUUUUCCCUCGAACACCUAGGAUGGCUUUGAUCUUCUUUGGAUACGCCUCAAUGCCUAGUUGGGUGACUAAGUAUCCAAGUAGCCAAGAAAUCUUUCUGAGGAGACUCUGUAUUUGCAAUUGGUUGGAUUUAGCAUCUUGAUGUAGACUCGCAAGAGCGAAAAUGUCUUUGCGAGGUUCUUGAUGUGACCAACACGUUUUGGGCCUUUCACCAUGUUGUCU